UAUUCAUGGUAGGGCACUUUCUAAAAUACUAUUUGAAUCUUUUCCAUGCUUCUAGAUAGCUCUCGAGAUCCUUUUGCUUGAACGUAUGAACUUUAUUCCUAAUAUG
Molecule: small nucleolar RNA, 106 nt
Filed under: Olea europaea subsp. europaea
Lineage: Eukaryota; Viridiplantae; Streptophyta; Magnoliopsida; Lamiales; Oleaceae
Description: Plant small nucleolar RNA R71
Rfam family: Plant small nucleolar RNA R71
About the family: R71 is a member of the C/D box family of snoRNAs containing the C (UGAUGA) and D (CUGA) box motifs. Multiple nearly identical copies of this snoRNA have been identified in Arabidopsis, and it is thought to function as a 2'-O-ribose methylation guide for 18S ribosomal RNA.
Source: Rfam by way of RNAcentral